GGACUCAUGAUCAGAGAAUCCUAAUUCUUGAUCACAGAGUCCCAGAGACGUAGAACUCAUAGUCCAUGAGCAUUAGGACUCUUCAUCAGCCAUCAGAUCAGAUAGGAACCUCUAAUGUGUGUGACCCCACAGGUUCGAACCUAAGCUGGUAGCACAGGAAUCAAUUCUUGUACUAAUCGAAGUGACCAUCUAGCAAUGGUACCCGAUGAUCGGAUAGG
Molecule: long non-coding RNA, 218 nt
Filed under: Elaeis guineensis (African oil palm)
Lineage: Eukaryota; Viridiplantae; Streptophyta; Magnoliopsida; Arecales; Arecaceae
Description: long non-coding RNA (EGUI_LNC078703)
Source: RNAcentral